UAAAUACCAAAAAGAAACAUUAAUUAUCACUGAAAUUCCCUUUCCACAUUUAGUAAGCCCUUUGUUAAAAAGGCUUUAAUCUUAAUGCUGAAAAUGAUUUCAUUCGAAUUAAAUCAUUUAGGCCGAGAUAGCGCUCAAAUUUCCCACUUAAUCUCUGAUGUUAUUCUAAAUGCACUGUAACGGGAAAUCCCGACCCUUGAACUCGUCCUGUGUGGGCUACCCUUUGACCUCUCAACACUUCGUCUUGUAUAAUCAGCUAGACGCAAAUAACAUCACUAUACCCCCCCCCCCUUUUUUUUUUUCCAUCUCCUUUUCUAGGUCUACGUGACAAAUGUCCCCCACAUUUCUGGACCUCGAGUUGGCGCUCAAGUUCACUGUCCACGUGCUGUCCUCAAAACGUUGUGACCAGUCUUCUUACGUCUUUGUCCUAUCUGGUGGCCAUCUCGAGUAUUGAUUUUCUAUUUCUGUUUUUAAACGGAUCGACAGUCUUCCAGAGUGGCCGUAUACUUAUUUGUGGCAUCGUCUGUCGUCCAAGAUCUACACAAAUGUUCUAAUCUCCAGCCAAGUGAGUGACAGUAAGAUUUGUGUUGUCAGUAAUGCAACAAUGUGUGCUACAGCUUCUGAAAUACCUGAAGAAUUAGAUUCUACAAUGUGUGAGUAGUGGGAAUCACACAAGUAAAUGGGACCAACCACACUCUAUCAACAGACCUUUAUGUGUAUGGGAUAGAAUUAGGACAGUUUAAUAAAUACUUGAACGAAAAUGGUAAUGUCUACAGUAAAUUAUCACACACUGCCAGAUUCAAACCCUGACAUUGCCUUUACUACCAAGCACUUCCUUUGAGAUACCACAUUGUACAAAAUAUGUAUAUCACAUAUUGAAUUUCAUUUCUAUUUGGAAAAGCUUUUUCAAUGAAAAAUAAAAUUCUGCCCAUUUUGAAAUUCUAAAGUGAAAUUGUAAUUUUUAGCCACAAAAUUAAAAGUGAAAUAAAUAUUUUUCUGAGU
Molecule: long non-coding RNA, 1002 nt
Organism: Biomphalaria glabrata
Lineage: Eukaryota; Metazoa; Mollusca; Gastropoda; Planorbidae
Exons: 2
Source: RefSeq, a predicted model, not a curated record